This 164-nucleotide small RNA is filed under the name bovine gut metagenome. RNAcentral describes it as "Clostridiales-1 RNA". It matches the Rfam family "Clostridiales-1 RNA". The record is from RNAcentral.
GAUAUCAGGGUCAAAAUCCUUGUUCCACGGGAAACUUGCUUACAAGUCGGACAAUGGUCUGAUGACCCACCCCGACAUGAGCAAGAAGUGGAGCAAAGCUCCUUGAAAUUGCGAAUGACGGGCAGGAUUGUGUGAGUGCGAAGCACGUAACAAUCCGUGAUAUC